This 643-nucleotide long non-coding RNA is filed under the name Salmo salar (Atlantic salmon). RNAcentral describes it as "lncRNA (ENSSSAG00000097857.1, ENSSSAG00020059468.1)". The record is from RNAcentral. Lineage: Eukaryota; Metazoa; Chordata; Actinopteri; Salmoniformes; Salmonidae.
GGCGAAAAACAGCAGGAGAUUUUGUGGGUGGUCAGGCUGAGAACAGUGACACUGGAGAUUCGCAUACAUGUGAAUUCUCCAUGUUUUUCUUUCUCUCUUUGAAUGAAUACAACGUCGCCCGGUUGGAAUAUUAUCGCUAUUUUACGAGAAAAAUAGCAUAAAAAUGGAUUUUAAACAGCGUUUGACAUGCUUCGAAGUACAGUAAUGAAAUAUUUUGAAUUUUUUUGUCACGAAAUGCGCUUGCGCUUCACCCUUCGGAUACUGACCUGAACGCACGAACAAAACGGAGCUAUUUCAAUAUAACUAUGGAUUAUUUGGAACCAAAACAACAUUUGUUGUUGAAGUAGAAGUCCUGAGAGUGCAUUCUGAUGAAGAACAGCAAAGCAUUGAUGUUUUUCUGUAGCACCCGGGAUGAAUGUGACUGACUCGGGAAGUCCAUACAAAGGAUCCGGGUCAGGGAAGUCAAACAUUUCUGGCUCUCAGAAGGCGCCAGAACGUUGAAUGAUGACUUUGCAGGCCAUGGCUGAAAAACAGUAGCGCAUUUGAUGAACGUGGUACCUUCAGGCGUUUGGAAAUUUCUCCCAAGGAUGAAACAGACUUCUGGAGUUCCACAAUUUUUUUCUAAAGUCUUGGCUGAUUUCUU